RNAcentral lists this long non-coding RNA (2902 nucleotides) under Gossypium barbadense (sea-island cotton). RNAcentral's name for it is "long non-coding RNA (GBAR_LNC013183)". The record is from RNAcentral. Lineage: Eukaryota; Viridiplantae; Streptophyta; Magnoliopsida; Malvales; Malvaceae.
CGAGCAGCCCUGAGCACCUCUAGUUUGAAUCCAUUCCUUUGUAAAAUAGCUUAAUUUUUGCUAAAAUUCCUCAUCCUCUUUAUUUUGUGUUGCCCAAGCCUUGAACCCUAGGUAUAAAUACAACUUUCUUUUUUAUAUUUUUCAGCAUUUAAUUCAACAUUUCCCUACCCUAGUCGUUCACCCUCUCCUCUCCUAUUUUCUCUUUAAUUUUCUUUCUUUUCUCUUUAAUUUUCUUUCUCUUUCUUUCUUUCCUUGUGUGCCGCCGCCCAAGCCACCAAGAUUCACCAUCAAUUUCUCUUCUUUUUGCAACAGGUUCUUGCACCAUUCUUUUCCCUCCUUUUUGCUGUCAUUUUUCUUUAUUUUUCCAAUCAUAAAUCCGAAAUCUUUAAUCUCCAAGAACGAUAUUUAUUAUUGCCCAAGAAGCUCCAUUGUUGCCCAUUUCAUCUAGCUAGUGUAAGUGCUUAUUUUCUUUAAUUUUUUUGAUGAAUCUUUCAAGAAAAUACCUAAAUUUAUAAAUCUGGAAUUAGGAUAAUUUAUAAUGAUUUUAUUGGUAUUUUUCUAGCCUUUAAAAGUAAUUUCAAUUGGCCCUUUAAAUCAACCCCAAUUUGCCACCGUUGGUGGUGGUGCGCUGUGCCUAAAGGCACAAAAGGGGUUGCUGUUUUCUUUAAUUUUUUCCCACCUAUUUCCAAAAAUAUCUUGGUUUCUUAAACCCUUCCUAAUCAGCCUUAAUCAUGUGUGAUUUAAGAAAAAUUCAAUCUUGAUCAUUCGACAACUCAAAUCUGACAAUUCGAGAAGCGUAAGUGUGGUUGAUUAUGGGAUAGUGCGUAAUUCGAUUUAAUUGUUGGGGAAAUCGAUAAUUGGUUGGAUUAAGAUUUUAACGAUGGAAUAGCUACUGAUUUUCAGUAUUUAAUUGUGUUAGGUGCUGAUUUAAACGCCCCAAAUCAACAGUGAAGCCGUACGUGUGUUUCGCAUCAAACCAGUGUAAGAAACCUAGCUAAUUUAGAUCUGAAAAAUUGUUAUGGUUGUGGUGAUUGGGUUGAACCCAUAAAAGGGUGUUUGAGGGUUGUUUAAGCGGUAUAUCAAUUUGAUAAAAUAAUGAUCUUUUAUUUAGGUUCAUUUUAAGGUCUUAAGGGGAAACCGCAAGUUUUGUAAGUGUGCUAUAGUAGAGUGAAAAAUAAUGUAUGGGUCCUAACUUGUUAACUUGAAUGUUUUGAUAAUAUUAUAUAUAUGGUCUAAAUGUGGAUUAAGCUUGCUGGUUGGGCUUAGUUAAUUGACUAAGUGAAUGUGUUAAAGUGGCUAAUUCAAGUACGUUACUGGUCUUGUCUAAAUGGCAUGUUUGCAAAAUUGUUUGAUUGACUGAAUAGUUAAUUGUUUGAUAUUGAUAUGAAAGGUUUAUUGGUAUGAUGUGUGAUUGAUUGUAUGUAUAACAUGUGUUAUUUUGGAAAUAGAUAUUGAAUGCCCUAAAUCUUGUUGGGUAAAAUGCCAUGAAAAGUAUGAAUGAAAAAACUGCUAUUCAUGCACUGGAAAUAUUUUUCCAUAAUGUUAAUGAUUGAUGAUAUGAUUAAAUGUCACCGUAUUGAUGGUGAAACUAAACGAUUGAUAUGUGAACGUUAUAAUGAUGACAUGUAAUCUAUGCUAUUGAAAGUAUAUGUAUGAAGCGUGCAUUUGAUUGAAAUAUUGUAUGACAUAUCGCAUGUGCAUGAGGUGGGUUAUUAUGGUUGAUGGAGGAGUUCCAUGGAGUUCUGACACUGAGAGUACUGUGAAGAAUGACUAUUUUAUCGCAUUUAAUGUUAAAUGGCAAUAUAACUGCAUUAUGUUUAUAUGGUGGUUUAACCUCAUCGAGCUUUGCUUGCAAUAUUUAGAGUUUGGCAUACGGGUUUUGGGAAACUCGUAGUGUGUAGCGGAUGGUUUGGGUAGGAAUUCAUUAUGCAUUAUGAUAUGUUCAUGACACUUACGAAUGAAAAUAUUUAUGUUAUGGUUGUGAUGCCACAAUAAUUUUGAUGAACGACAUUUGCUUGAAUGGUUGAAUGUGCUUAUGGUUUAGAUUUACACUGAGCUAAUUAACUCGUUUAUGCUAUGUAUUGUAUUGUGUUAAAUCAAAUGGUAUUGGAUUAAUGACUGUUUUUUGUAUGAAUGUUUGUGUGAUUAUAUUGUUAUAGACUCACACUGAGUUAGUUUAGCUUACCCCAUAGUUCAAAACUUCUCAUGUAAUGCUCGUGACUAGGAUCAGACCCAGCAUACGGGGUAUCACCUCGGACAUCGGAUUGUUUUUAAAUAAGUAUUUUUAAUAAAUUCUUUGUUGGUUUUGGAUUGUAAUUUUUAAUGUAUUGGGUAUGUGGCUUGAUUAUUUUUUUUUGGGGGGGGGGGAUUUUGUGCAUGCAUAUAUUACUGAAGCUUAAUAACUAAUAAUUGCAUGAUAUAUGACUUAAGUAAAAAUAACAUUGAUCACCAAUUUUUUGUUGUGUUACAAAUUAACCGUUUUGAAAAACAAAUUGAUAAGGCAAUUGGAUUUCCAAAAUGAUAUGAAUAAUAGUUUUCCACUACAUUUUGAAUAUUCAAUUUUUGUGAAAUAAAAUGUCAAAACAAUUAGUCUUCUAAAACAUGACAACAAUAAUAAAGUAAAGAUGGCCUAAUUGAAUGAAUGUUUUAAUGUUAAUUAAUUUCAAGGGUGAUGACUUUUCUAAAGUUAGAAAAAAAAUUAGGGUUUUUUUGUAAGAAAACCCAAUAAACGAAUGUUUUAUCUAACUUGGAUCACCAAUAACGGUUUUCUUUAAAAUUAGUUGCGUGUUAAGGAUUUUCAAAGGUCAAUUAGUCUGUUUAGCUAUUUCGGUGGCUAAUGCAGUCUUCUCAAUAUGGUCAUAACGUCUAGGCCGGGUUAAGGAGGUUAUAACCUUAGACAAGG